This is a non-coding RNA of Microcebus murinus (gray mouse lemur), 471 nucleotides long. Lineage: Eukaryota; Metazoa; Chordata; Mammalia; Primates; Cheirogaleidae. The record is from the annotation of a RefSeq genome assembly.
UGUGGGGACCAGGGGCUGUGUGCACCAUGGCCUGGGCUCCUGUCCUGCUCGUGCUCCUCUCUCACUGCACAGGGUCCCUGUCCCAGCCUGUGCUGACCCAGCCGCCCUCUGCGUCUGCCUCCCCGGGAGCCUCGGCCAAGCUCACCUGCACCCUGAGCAGUGCGCACAGUGACUACAACAUUGAAUGGCAUCAGCAGCAGCCAGGGAAGGCCCCUCGGUACUUGAUGUAUGUUAACAGUGAUGGAAGCCACAGCAAGGGGGAUGGGAUCCCCGAUCGCUUCUCGGGCUCCAGCUCCGGGGCUGACCGCUACUUAACCAUCUCCAACGUCCAGCCUGAGGACGAGGCUGACUAUUACUGUGGUGCAGGUUAUAGCAUUGGUGGUUCAUAUGGUUAAAACACAGUGAUCCAGAUGAAUGGGGAAGUGGGACAAAAACUGUUUGCUCUACUCUGCUACCAAGGCUGCCACCUGG